GAUGAACGCUGGCGGCGUGCCUAAUACAUGCAAGUCGAGCGAACAGAUAAGGAGCUUGCUCCUUUGACGUUAGCGGCGGACGGGUGAGUAACACGUGGGUAACCUACCUAUAAGACUGGGAUAAAUUCGGGAAACCGGAGCUAAUACCGGAUAACAUUUGGAACCGCAUGGUUCUAAAGUGAAAGAUGGUUUUGCUAUCACUUAUAGAUGGACCCGCGCCGUAUUAGCUAGUUGGUAAGGUAACGGCUUACCAAGGCAACGAUACGUAGCCGACCUGAGAGGGUGAUCGGCCACACUGGAACUGAGACACGGUCCAGACUCCUACGGGAGGCAGCAGUAGGGAAUCUUCCGCAAUGGGCGAAAGCCUGACGGAGCAACGCCGCGUGAGUGAUGAAGGGUUUCGGCUCGUAAAACUCUGUUAUUAGGGAAGAACAAAUGUGUAAGUAACUGUGCACGUCUUGACGGUACCUAAUCAGAAAGCCACGGCUAACUACGUG
This 497-nucleotide ribosomal RNA is filed under the name uncultured bacterium. Its description in RNAcentral is "partial 16S ribosomal RNA". It matches the Rfam family "Bacterial small subunit ribosomal RNA", at positions 28 to 507 of the family's 1533-position model. The record is from RNAcentral.